GAUAUAAGACGUCGUCAAGUGAAUUUGAACUACCAAGUUUUUGUUUCUUCGGGUUUACGACUUUUUAUUUGGUGACAAUGUGAUGGGCAAAAAUUAAUUACUAGUUAUAAAACUCGUAUGUAUAUACACAUGUGAUGAAAUAAAAUUUGAAAGAAUAACGGUGUCGUGUGUGAAUACAUAAAGUGUUUUAAUGGAAACGUACUGAAUCAUACUCCUUUUAAAUGAGUAUAAAUUAACAUGACCUGCAUAUCAAAACAAGCACGGAUUAUAAGGCAACAAAAACAUAUCAAAAAAUAUUUAUCUAAAUCUAAAUAGAGAAACGUCGUUAUUAC
RNAcentral lists this unclassified non-coding RNA (332 nucleotides) under Bactrocera latifrons. Its description in RNAcentral is "uncharacterized LOC108975135, transcript variant X5". The record is from RNAcentral. Lineage: Eukaryota; Metazoa; Arthropoda; Insecta; Diptera; Tephritidae.